GUGGGGAAUAUUGGACAAUGGGCGAAAGCCUGAUCCAGCCAUGCCGCGUGAGUGAUGAAGGCCUUAGGGUUGUAAAGCUCUUUCAGUAGGGAAGAUAAUGACGGUACCUACAGAAGAAGCCCCGGCUAACUUCGUGCCAGCAGCCGCGGUAAUACGAAGGGGGCUAGCGUUGUUCGGAUUUACUGGGCGUAAAGCGCACGUAGGCGGAUUGGUCAGUUAGAGGUGAAAUCCUGGAGCUCAACUCCAGAACUGCCUUUAAUACUGCCAGUCUAGAGUCCAGAAGAGGUGAGUGGAACUCCUAGUGUAGAGGUGGAAUUCGUAGAUAUUAGGAAGAACACCAGUGGCGAAGGCGGCUCACUGGUCUGGUACUGACGCUGAGGUGCGAAAGCGUGGGGAGCAAACAGGAUUAGAAACCCUAGUAGUC
This 424-nucleotide ribosomal RNA is filed under the name uncultured bacterium. RNAcentral's name for it is "partial 16S ribosomal RNA". It matches the Rfam family "Bacterial small subunit ribosomal RNA", at positions 354 to 795 of the family's 1533-position model. The record is from RNAcentral.